GACAGAGGAGCCAAGCGUUGUCCGGAUUGACUGGGCGUAAAGCGCACGCAGGCGGUCGCGCGCGUGGGGUGUGAAAACUGGCGGCUUAACUGCCAGAGGCCAUCCCACACGGCGCAACUCGAGCCAUGCAGAGGUCCACGGAAUUGCCGGUGUAGUGGUGAAAUGCGUAGAUAUCGGGAGGAACACCAGUGGCGAAGGCGGCGACCUGGGCCAAUACUGACGCUGAGGUGCGAAAGCGUGGGGAGCAAACAGG
This 253-nucleotide ribosomal RNA is filed under the name uncultured bacterium. RNAcentral describes it as "partial 16S ribosomal RNA". It matches the Rfam family "Bacterial small subunit ribosomal RNA", at positions 524 to 776 of the family's 1533-position model. The record is from RNAcentral.